Jatropha curcas is the source of this 355-nucleotide long non-coding RNA. RefSeq lists it as uncharacterized. The record is from RefSeq and is a predicted model, not a curated record. NCBI's taxonomy places the organism in Eukaryota, Viridiplantae, Streptophyta, Magnoliopsida, Malpighiales, Euphorbiaceae.
UGUUCAUGGCCGUAAUUGCUUUGUGAUCUUCUCAUUGCAUUGGCAUUACAAUUAGAAUGAAAAUAUGGGACGAAGCGGGAGAAAUUUAUAGGCAAAAAGAUUUUGAGGUAAACAAGAGUAAAUCUGCAGAGGGAAUCAAAGAAGACGUUGCAACAGACUCCUUUCUUUUCUUUAAUCCAUUUUAGAAAUUUUUACGAUUAUUUUCUAUGAAUAGUCAAAAGUAUGGGAAAAAAAAAAAAAAAAGAAUUUGAAUGUUUUUACUUCAACCUUUCAUUUUUUUACUUUUUUAUAAACUAAUCUUUAUUCUAUAAGAAUGAGAUGCAAAUUAUAAGAUGAGAUUGAUUCUUAUUAAAUA